UACGUAGGAGGCAAGCGUUGUCCGGAAUUACUGGGCGUAAAGCGUGCGUAGGCGGUUCCUCAAGUCCGUUGUGAAAGCCCCGGGCUCAACCUGGGAAUGGCAGUGGAAACUAGGGGACUGGAAUCUGGCAGAGGGGGGUGGAAUGCCGCGUGUAGCAGUGAAAUGCGUAGAGAUGCGGCGGAACACCGAUGGCGAAGGCAGCCCCCUGGGCUGAGAUUGACGCUCAGGCACGAAAGCGUGGGGAGCAAACAGG
This 253-nucleotide ribosomal RNA is filed under the name uncultured bacterium. Its description in RNAcentral is "partial 16S ribosomal RNA". It matches the Rfam family "Bacterial small subunit ribosomal RNA", at positions 524 to 776 of the family's 1533-position model. The record is from RNAcentral.